Long non-coding RNA from Grus americana (Whooping crane), 1100 nucleotides. RefSeq lists it as uncharacterized. The transcript is spliced from 2 exons. Lineage: Eukaryota; Metazoa; Chordata; Aves; Gruiformes; Gruidae. The record is from RefSeq and is a predicted model, not a curated record.
AGCAGACCGAAAUAGCAACACCAAACCUCAAGCAAUCUAUAUCUGGGCCCUUCGGACUUCCCUGGAAAUGUGGUCGGGUUGCCACAUUAUGCAGACACGCUCCCGGCCACGCUCUCCGGCGGUUUGUUGAUUCAGCCACUCCUCCGAUUUCAUUUGCCAGGGGAAUUCAUCUUUCAUUAUGCCUAGAGGCAUGGCCUGUGGGGGUUUGUUUUGUUGGGUUUUUUUAUUAAUUGCUCUAUUUUUCUUCUGCACAGUAGGAGAUGAGAAUGAAUCACCCGCGGGAUCUGGGGUAGCCGUGCAUCAGAAGCAGGACCGUAACAAGAUUUUAUUCUCCCAUCGCCGUGCUAAGACCUCCUGGCAUCUGGGAGGAAGAGGAGACCUGUAUACGCCAGGCUCCUGCUCUGGGAAGCAGGAAGGCGGCUACGGACCGUCCUGACGUGCUGAAGCUCCCGUUACCUUGCGGUUAGGAGCGAUGGAUCCCUGCCAGCUCUUCAUGCAGAACUCGCUGUCUUCACACCGCAGGGAUUUACAACGUCUUUACGGGCUGGGAUUCGUUCUGACCACCUAAAUGUAGGUAAGAUCUACAUGCGACCUAAAUAUAUGCGUCGGAAUCCCACCCUGGUACCGCUCUGUGCGCUGCCAGCUGUACUCACGGGUUGCUUUGCAACCAGAGAUGCACGAGGAUGCAACAGAUUUCAUCCCCUCCAUCCAUAUUUUAUCUGCAAUAAAGCACGCAGACCACGUUCAUCGCUGCGUUUAAUAGUCUGUCUACUGCAGAGAGAGAAAAACAACCUGUCUCAGAGGUGAAAUCUCUGGGCACACCAAAGGCUUUCUCUGUUCUCUCCUCCUCCUGCUGCCCCCGCUCAUGCCAGCUGCAAUGAGAAUGAAAAAUCUCCAGAAAAAGCAGGGGAAGGGGUGGAUUUGAGGGGUAUGUGAAGGGAAACGGGUGCUGCUGAGUGUGCAGAGGCAGGGAGGCUAUUCCGGCUGCGGAGAGCAGCUCUGGAGCUAGCAGGACAGGCCGGAAGACUUAAAAAAGAGAAAGAAAUAAGAAAGAAGAAAAGGAAAAAGAAAAGAAAAAAGAAGAAAAAAGGAAAAAGAAA